Molecule: ribosomal RNA, 253 nt
Filed under: uncultured prokaryote
Description: partial 16S ribosomal RNA
Rfam family: Bacterial small subunit ribosomal RNA
Source: RNAcentral
UACGUAGGGGGCAAGCGUUGUCCGGAAUUACUGGGCGUAAAGGGUGCGUAGGCGGUUUUUUAAGUCAGAUGUGAAAUCCCCGGGCUUAACUCGGGUGUUGCAUUUGAAACUGGGGAACUAGAGUGCAGGAGAGGGAAGCGGAAUUCCUAGUGUAGCGGUGAAAUGCGUAGAUAUUAGGAGGAACACCAGUGGCGAAGGCGGCUUUCUGGACUGUAACUGACGCUGAGGCACGAAAGCGUGGGGAGCAAACAGG